Molecule: ribosomal RNA, 253 nt
Filed under: uncultured bacterium
Lineage: Bacteria
Description: partial 16S ribosomal RNA
Rfam family: Bacterial small subunit ribosomal RNA
Source: RNAcentral
GACAGAGGGUGCAACCGUUGUUCGGAAUUACUGGGCGUAAAGCGCGUGUAGGCGGCCCGGAAAGUCGGAUGUGAAAGCCCUGGGCUUAACCUAGGAAGUGCAUUCGAAACUCUCGGGCUUGAGUUCUGGAGAGGAAGGCGGAAUUCUCGGUGUAGAGGUGAAAUUCGUAGAUAUCGAGAGGAACACCGGUGGCGAAGGCGGCCUUCUGGACAGUGACUGACGCUGAGACGCGAAAGCGUGGGGAGCAAACAGG